This is a long non-coding RNA of Schistocerca serialis cubense, 2472 nucleotides long. RefSeq lists it as uncharacterized. The transcript is spliced from 2 exons. The record is from RefSeq and is a predicted model, not a curated record. Lineage: Eukaryota; Metazoa; Arthropoda; Insecta; Orthoptera; Acrididae.
UCCGUGCGUAAUAUCUUACAUGUUGAUUAACCUUGGAUAAACACGAAGUGUUUGUAUGACAGUUGACAGUACUGUGAGUAGAGUUGGAGAUGAUAGUUAGUGUCGGUCGUAUUUAGUUGUUCAGCAGAAGUUUGGUGAUUGAUAAUACAUACCGUCUCGUCAUGGCAGACAGCGAGGAAAAAGCACUGAUGCUAAUGUCAGAAGCGGAGAAGAAAUCGAAAUCAGCUAAAGGAUUUUUGGGGACUUUAAUGGGAGGGAACGAUAGCACAGAUGAAGCCAUCGACUAUUAUGAAAGGGCAGGAAAUUUAUUCAAAAUGAAUAAAAAUUGGGACAGUGCCGCAGACGCCUAUCUUCAGGCUGCGAAACUACAGAAAAGGGUAGGUAGACAGCACGACGCAGUGAUGAAUAAAGUUACAGCCGCUAACUGCUUCAAGAAAACUAAUCCGCAAGAGGCUGUACAUUGCUUGUUGGAAGUUGUCGAGUUCUACAAAGAGACUGGGAAGUUUGUUAUGGCUGCCAAACAACACCAAGCGUUAGCAGAAUUGUAUGAGAAACAGCUCUUGAACUGGCAGCAAACCGUACAUCAUUAUCAAGAAGCGGCCGAUAUGUUUUCUGCAGAAAAUAGCACAGCCUCGGCGACCAAAUGUCUAUUGAAGGUAGCAGAAUAUUCUCUUCAACAGGAAAACUACACGAAGGCUAUUCAGAUUUAUGAGGAUGUUGCUGAAGCUGCCCUUCGUAGCGCCUUGCUAAAAUAUAGUGCCACUGAUUAUUUCUUCAGGGCAGCAUUAUGUCAUUUUUGUGUUGACACACUGAACGCACAUAACGCCUUGAUGCGAUAUGCAGAUAUGCAUCCAGCAUUCGAAGAAUCGAGAGAAUAUAAGUUGCUGAAAACUCUGAUUCAGCACGCAGAAAAUGAAGAUGUUGACGCUUUUUCGGAGGCAAUCAUUAGUUACAAUUCAGUAUACCGAAUGGAUGAAUCUUACAUGAAAAUCCUUGAAAAGAUAAAAAGCCACAUUGAUAGUGUUGAUCUUCGAUAAGCAGGAUAUUUGACGUUCCUUUGCAGUAUUUUAUCGCUCGUUGUGAAGAGUUGUGACAAAAAUUGUAGAUUAUUUAGAGAACAGUCAUUAUUAAAGAAUUCUGUGCUGUGAUAUUACUGUCCCCUGUCUCAUUAUUAAUGUAAGAUAAUGUUUGUUAGCGUAUACUGUUUCACCAAACAGUAUGCAGUUAUGUGAAAAUUGCUUUCGUAGCUAUGAAGAACUUUGUUGUCAAGUGUGACAUAAUAUGUCCACAAAUGUCAGAGUUCAUAGGUGCAUUGAACCAGAUCUGAUAAUUAAAGUUCCUUAUAGGCUACUUAGAAAUAUACUUUUUUAUUGUCGUAAUAUUAGGCAGUAAGUAUGGAUUUAGAUUACUUCUGUUAUUUGUUGCACUCUUAUGGCAUGAUCAUUUGUGUUACUGUAGUUCCCGGUACUCAGAUGAUCACAGUUGUGAAUAGAUUGCUACGGCUGUAACUUGUUACACUAACUGUAGCCUAAUGGUGGGGGUUCUUAAGUUUCUUCUACAGCUGUAGUGUAGAAUAAUGCAUUUUAUGGCUUCAUACGAAUCAGGGCAGCUUCAAUAUUUUGGUCAUUCUUUUACUAAAGUUUUCACUGUAAUCUGACACAAGAAAUUGAAGAUUACAAGGGGGGAGGGGAGGGGGGAAGAGAGUGAGAGUGUGUAUAUAUGUUUGGAGAGGAGAUAUGGUGUGGCUGUGGCUUCUUAUAUAUUACUUUUUAACAGCAGUAUUAUCUCUGAUACAUUUUUAAUAUACAAGAAGUGCUUUAACUUCCAUGGGAGAGGGAACCUAGUUAUAAUUAUUUCUUGGUGACAGUUUUUAUCAUAAUUCCACGUAACUUAUCUACUACUGUAAGAUAUUCUGUAAUAUUGCCUAAAUUGUACAUUUUCAAGCUAAAUCAUAUUUUUUUUCUAGUAUCUACUAAAUCCACAACACUAUAGUAUGAAGGUAUCCUUAACUUAAUACUGAAAAGAAUUUUUAUUGCUUUAGCUUGAUUAGUAUUCAGGUUGUGCCACACAUGUGGAUGCCAAGAGAUGUUAUAAGCAGUUCAUGUAUAAUGUAUGGAGAUCUUUUCAAAGUAAUAGCAUUUAAGGUAUGUUCUUUUCUUUAUGUAGAAAAUAUUCGUAACAAAUGCAGGCUGUAUCUUUCAUUCCACAGAGGAGUGUUCAGUUGGAAUACUUUGUGGCAAAUUGAAAUGACAUGUUCAACAGUCAGUUUGUCUCAUCCUUAAGGACAUAUAUAUAUGUCUUUCCAAGCUUUUCAUUCAUAAUACUUGUGUUUACCAAAACAAUGAACUUUUGGAGACAGUUUGAAAACUGCAUUUCGAAAGGAAUAACAUGAUGUCAAAAAUGGGCUUCUGAUGUGAAAUAAUUGUAUAUGUAAAUACAAGACAGCACAGUAAUUAGAUGACAUUAUCAUCA